Molecule: ribosomal RNA, 324 nt
Filed under: uncultured fungus
Lineage: Eukaryota; Fungi
Description: eukaryotic LSU rRNA
Rfam family: 5.8S ribosomal RNA (bases 1-105)
Source: RNAcentral
GAAAUGCGAUAAGUAAUGUGAAUUGCAGAAUUCAGUGAAUCAUCGAAUCUUUGAACGCACAUUGCGCCCGCCAGUAUUCUGGCGGGCAUGCCUGUCCGAGCGUCAUUUCAACCCUCGAACCCCUCCGGGGGGUCGGCGUUGGGGAUCGGCCACCCCUCCUCUUGGGGGCGGCCGGCCCCGAAAUACAGUGGCGGUCUCGCCGCAGCCUCUCCUGCGCAGUAGUUUGCACACUCGCAUCGGGAGCGCGGCGCGUCCAAUGCCGUAAAACACCCAACUUUCUAAAAUGUUGACCUCGGAUCAGGUAGGAAUACCCGCUGAACUUAA